This 445-nucleotide ribosomal RNA is filed under the name uncultured bacterium. RNAcentral's name for it is "partial 16S ribosomal RNA". It matches the Rfam family "Bacterial small subunit ribosomal RNA", at positions 354 to 796 of the family's 1533-position model. The record is from RNAcentral.
GUGAGGAAUAUUGGUCAAUGGACGAGAGUCUGAACCAGCCAAGUCGCGUGAAGGAAGACGGUUCUAUGAAUUGUAAACUUCUUUUGUGCAGGAAUAAAGUGGGUUACGUGUAACCUUUCGUAUGUACUGUACGAAUAAGGAUCGGCUAACUCCGUGCCAGCAGCCGCGGUAAUACGGAGGAUCCGAGCGUUAUCCGGAUUUAUUGGGUUUAAAGGGUGCGUAGGUGGAUUGAUAAGUCAGCGGUGAAAGUUUGCAGCUUAACUGUAAAAUUGCCGUUGAAACUGUCGGUCUUGAGUGCAAAUGAGGUAGGCGGAAUGUGUUGUGUAGCGGUGAAAUGCUUAGAUAUAACACAGAACUCCGAUUGCGAAGGCAGCUUACUGGGAUGCAACUGACACUGAUGCACGAAAGCGUGGGUAUCAAACAGGAUUAGAUACCCCAGUAGUCC